UACGAGGGGGGCUAGUGUUGUUCGGAAUCACUGGGCGUAAAGGGAGCGUAGGCGGGCGUUUAAGUUAGGUGUUUAAUCCCGGGGCCCAACCCCGGACCGGCACCUAAAACUGGACGUCUUGAAUAGUGGAGAGGUCGGUGGAAUUGGAGGUGUAGCGGUGGAAUGCGUAGAGAUCUCCAAGAACACCCGUUGCGAAGGCGGGUUGCUGGGCUGAUACUGACGCUGAGGCGCGAAAGCCAGGGGAGCGAACGGG
This 253-nucleotide ribosomal RNA is filed under the name uncultured bacterium. RNAcentral's name for it is "partial 16S ribosomal RNA". It matches the Rfam family "Bacterial small subunit ribosomal RNA", at positions 524 to 776 of the family's 1533-position model. The record is from RNAcentral.